UACGUAGGGUGCGAGCGUUAAUCGGAAUUACUGGGCGUAAAGCGUGCGCAGGCGGUUUUGUAAGACAGGUGUGAAAUCCCCGGGCUUAACCUGGGAACUUCAUUUGUGACUGCAAGGCUAGAGGAUGGCAGAGGGGGGUAGAAUUCCACGUGUAGCAGGGAAAUGCGUAGAUAUGUGGAGGAAUACCGAUGGCGAAGGCAGCCCCCUGGGUCAAUACUGACGCUAAGGCACGAAAGCGUGGGGAGCAAACAGG
RNAcentral lists this ribosomal RNA (253 nucleotides) under uncultured bacterium. RNAcentral's name for it is "partial 16S ribosomal RNA". It matches the Rfam family "Bacterial small subunit ribosomal RNA", at positions 524 to 776 of the family's 1533-position model. The record is from RNAcentral.